UAUUAUUUAAUUUAAAAUGAGUGAAAAUCAACAUAAAACACUACAGUAAAAUUCUAAAGCUGUCUUGAGGAAAGGUAAUUAAUUGUAAGUUAUUCUUGGACUGUGAAUGAAAAUACACACAUCAAACAUACACACUGCUAAAAUUAUGUCUCAUCAAAAUCCUUAGCUGACUAGCAAGGUCAAUACAAACCAGGAGUGAAUUGCAGGGUUAUAUACGAACUGUGUUAUGAGUACUGCAUCAGAGCUAUACAUUACACUCUGCACUAUCUGAGAUUGUCUCACUAGUUCAGUCUCAAAAUAAUUGUUGGCACAGAUUGAUGUCAGGAAUGAAACAUCACAACACCACAUCUUUAAAUCAGUUAAAAGAAACACAUACAUGUGUAACCUUGCUUUCCGAUGCGAAUGUUCCAGUUUAUUUCAGGGCACAGCAGUGAACAAAGUAUAGCUCAGAACAACUUAUGGCCAACUGUAUCGUAGCUAGAAAGCGUCUUGCAAACUAUAUCAAAUUGAUUUGAGAAUCACCAACCACAGAAGACACAAUUUUAAGGUCACCAAUGCUCCUUUCAUUCAAAACUUAACUCAAAUGGCCUCCAAUGCUUACCACAAGUUUUCCAAUGCAACUGCAAGUUUUCCGAGUGUAUUUUUCAACUCCUCCAAUACUCAAAACAACUUCCAGAUUUUUCUGCUCACAGGGGUGCUCUGAUGACAAAAACUGACCUGAAAUUUCUAGCAUUUAUUUAUAUUUUUGUGUAAGAUUUGGGGAUUUUGCUGUCCAAUUCUGCUUUUGCUGUAAGUUUUCAUUCCACAAGAAGCAACUCUUGAUUCAAGUUUGACAGUGCCGUGAUUCCCCUGAUCAAACUAGUUCUUUGCUAUGCAUAGCAACCAAUGAGAUGGAGACAAUAGAUUUCAUCAAAUUACUAUUUUCGUGUUUGUCAAAGUGGGCAAUGGGCCAACUUUUGAGUUUAUGUGUUGAAAUAUUUUGAAAUAAAAAGGCUUUUUCGGUAGUAUUGUAAGAUAAUGGUUUGACACUGACUAUUUUUUGAUGUUUUGAAACACCAAAAAGAAAAAGUCAGUGUCAAACCAUUAUCUUACAAUGUUAGCUCCUGACUACCACUACUCUAUUUUUCUGUGGUAGUUUGUUUCUUUAUUAUAUGAAACAAAUAAGUUUCAUGUUGCUGUACAUCAGUAACAGGUCACAGAAGACGUGAUAAUGUGAUAAGAACAUCAGUGACACACUCGGCUAUCGCCUCUUGUGCCACUUUUUUGUUCUUACCGCAUUUUGACGUCAUCUGUGUUCUAUUACUGAACAGAUGUACGGUAACAUGAAAUCUAGUUGUUAAGUAGUUCUUGCUUAUUUUAUCUGCCUGGAGUGGUAUAAUAACUGAGAUCCACUGCCUGAACAAACUCUGAAACACAUUAAUUGUAUCUCAGAUUCAAGUGCAGCCAAGCAUUGUCAUUCUUGUAAUUUACUAUUCACGGAGCUGUCAGUAUUUGAAAGUGACUUCCUCUGUUAUAGUAUGCCAGUGUUAUCAUACUGUUACAUGAUUAUUUUUAUUUAAAGAUGACUAUUGUUAAACAGUCUCACAUGCUGCUCAGAUUAGUGAGAAAUUGACUGGUCACUCAAGUUUCUGUAAUUAUCAAGCAAGUCCUUAUUUUUACAUCUCAAAGAAAUGUAUCAAUUUAGAUGUAAAUUACUCUCGCAAUGAGCAAUAAUUCACUUUUUCAACAGAUGACGAUGGAAAUGUGCUCCGUCAGAAGAAUCUUAGCGAAUGGGCUUUCAGAGAAGGGAAGAGAAUGAUGUUAGCUGGGGAACAUCCUUACUUGGAUCACAGUGAAUCACUCUGACUCCUAUAGAAAAAUGUAGAUGCCAUUGAAUUUCUAUAAACCUCUAGUCAAUUUCUUGUUAACUGCAAAUUAAGUUUCAAAUGUAACUUAUAGGUUACACUGCAUAUAAACCUUUUACCUAAACUAUGUUCUAAUUCAAAUAUCUUUUAGAAUUUCUGAUUGUUCAAGACAAUUACUACUGAGACAUUUUUACCUUCAACUGGAAUUUAGCUGUACUUCUAUUAUAUAUGAAUUAUAUAGUAUAAUAUCUUUUAUAUACAGUUGCAGAAUUUAUAUUAUUUUCUAUGAUGUCCUUUAUUGUUAAGUAACUUUAUUAUAUGGCUUGUGUUUGUAGCGGAUAUAAUUGAUCGGCUAAUUCUAGGUCAUUGUUCUCGUGUAACGUCUGCGGGCCUGCAAAAACAAAGCAAAAGCCAGAUAAUAAACAACUUAUUAACCUCAAAUGUUUUGGUCUUUACGCGAAAAUCUCAAACCUCCACUUUGCCAUAUUGCCCUUGGUGUCGCUCGGUCAAUACGGCAACGUCUCAGUUUGAGAUUUUCCCGUAAAGAACUCAGUCUCGGUAAAUAAGUACGUGUAGUUACUUAGUAAUAUUAUUACCAUGAAAUUAUUUUGUAGUUUAUAAUCAGUCAUUUGCAAUGCCAUUAAUUAAUUAAUGAUUAUAGGGUUCUGACAGAACUUGUCAUAUUCCUACAGCUACAUGUAUUUAAUAGUUCCAUUUUUAGUUCAAAUAUGUUUAUGUGUAUGUUUUGUGGGCAGAAAGUUUAUAACAAACAUAUUAUGUUUGUUAUAAACUUUCCACUCACAAAACAUUUACAUGUAUUUAUAACAAAAUUAUUUAACAUGAAUUUUAUUGAUUGAAUUGUUAUUAGCUGAAGUAUCCCAGGAAAGUCAUGUUCACCACGUGUAAAGAGUCAUCACAUGUAAUGUGUACUAUAGUAAUUGUUUGUUUAAAGAGAGGAAUGAGAAAUUAAAGGAUUAGAUGUGUU
RNAcentral lists this long non-coding RNA (2829 nucleotides) under Orbicella faveolata. RNAcentral describes it as "uncharacterized LOC110059412". Lineage: Eukaryota; Metazoa; Cnidaria; Anthozoa; Scleractinia; Merulinidae. The record is from RNAcentral.